This 497-nucleotide ribosomal RNA is filed under the name uncultured bacterium. RNAcentral's name for it is "partial 16S ribosomal RNA". It matches the Rfam family "Bacterial small subunit ribosomal RNA", at positions 28 to 507 of the family's 1533-position model. The record is from RNAcentral.
GAUGAACGCUGGCGGCGUGCCUAAUACAUGCAAGUCGAGCGAACGGACGAUAAGCUUGCGUCUCUGAUGUUAGCGGCGGACGGGUGAGUAACACGUGGAUAACCUACCUAUAAGACUGGGAUAACUUCGGGAAACCGGAGCUAAUACCGGAUAAUAUUUUGAACCGCAUGGUUCAAAAGUGAAAGACGGUCUUGCUGUCACUUAUAGAUGGAUCCGCGCUGCAUUAGCUAGUUGGUAAGGUAACGGCUUACCAAGGCAACGAUGCAUAGCCGACCUGAGAGGGUGAUCGGCCACACUGGAACUGAGACACGGUCCAGACUCCUACGGGAGGCAGCAGUAGGGAAUCUUCCGCAAUGGGCGAAAGCCUGACGGAGCAACGCCGCGUGAGUGAUGAAGGUCUUCGGAUCGUAAAGCUCUGUUAUUAGGGAAGAACAUAUGUGUAAGUAACUGUGCACAUCUUGACGGUACCUAAUCAGAAAGCCACGGCUAACUACGUG